GUGAAAAACGGAACGGCGGAUCGAACGAAUUUUCUUCAUUUUGUUAACAUGUGUUCUAUAUGAUUUAUCGGUUAUCAAAAUUCAUUAAAUUCUUCAAAUCUGAACCGGUGUGACGUCUCUCAAGUAAAUCGUUCACCUCUUAUGCGGUAAGAAAUGAACAGUUUUAAUUGACGUCUACUCAAACUUUCUGCCAAUAAGAUAUAUGCUUAUGGUAGACAAAGAAGAAAUGAAGGAUGUGGUAGUGAUGAUGUUGGUGUAGGGAAAAAAAGAAGAAAAGGGGGAGAGUUUAAAUCGACGUUUGAAAGUUCGUAAGCUGGUUGCAGCGAGUUCCUACCUACCUACCUACCUACCUGUUAUCUCGGUGAAACAUCGAUCGGUGGUACUUGGGAAUGGAGCAGGAGAGGCUCAGCU
Molecule: long non-coding RNA, 411 nt
Filed under: Polistes fuscatus (common paper wasp)
Lineage: Eukaryota; Metazoa; Arthropoda; Insecta; Hymenoptera; Vespidae
Description: uncharacterized LOC122524572
Source: RNAcentral